GAUGAACGCUAGCGGGAGGCCUAACACAUGCAAGCCGAGCGGUAUUGUUUCUUCGGAAAUGAGAGAGCGGCGUACGGGUGCGGAACACGUGUGCAACCUGCCUUUAUCUGGGGGAUAGCCUUUCGAAAGGAAGAUUAAUACUCCAUAACAUAUUGAUUGGCAUCAAUUAAUAUUGAAAGCUCCGGCGGAUAGAGAUGGGCACGCGCAAGAUUAGCUAGUUGGUGAGGUAACGGCUCACCAAGGCGAUGAUCUUUAGGGGGCCUGAGAGGGUGAUCCCCCACACUGGUACUGAGACACGGACCAGACUCCUACGGGAGGCAGCAGUGAGGAAUAUUGGUCAAUGGGUGCAAGCCUGAACCAGCCAUCCCGCGUGAAGGACGACUGCCCUAUGGGUUGUAAACUUCUUUUGUAUAGGGAUAAACCUACCCUCGUGAGGGUAGCUGAAGGUACUAUACGAAUAAGCACCGGCUAACUCCGUGCCAGCAGCCGCGGUAAUACGGAGGGUGCAAGCGUUAUCCGGAUUUAUUGGGUUUAAAGGGUCCGUAGGCGGACUUAUAAGUCAGUGGUGAAAGCCUGUCGCUUAACGAUAGAACUGCCAUUGAUACUGUAAGUCUUGAGUAUAUUUGAGGUAGCUGGAAUAAGUAGUGUAGCGGUGAAAUGCAUAGAUAUUACUUAGAACACCAAUUGCGAAGGCAGGUUACCAAGAUAUAACUGACGCUGAGGGACGAAAGCGUGGGGAGCGAACAGGAUUAGAUACCCUGGUAGUCCACGCCGUAAACGAUGCUAACUCGUUUUUGGGCUUUAGGGUUCAGAGACCAAGCGAAAGUGAUAAGUUAGCCACCUGGGGAGUACGCUCGCAAGGGUGAAACUCAAAGGAAUUGACGGGGGCCCGCACAAGCGGUGGAUUAUGUGGUUUAAUUCGAUGAUACGCGAGGAACCUUACCAAGACUUAAAUGGGAAUUGACAGCUUUAGAAAUAGAGCUUUCUUCGGACAAUUUUCAAGGUGCUGCAUGGUUGUCGUCAGCUCGUGCCGUGAGGUGUUAGGUUAAGUCCUGCAACGAGCGCAACCCCUGUCACUAGUUGCCAUCAUUCAGUUGGGGACUCUAGUGAGACUGCCUACGCAAGUAGAGAGGAAGGUGGGGAUGACGUCAAAUCAUCACGGCCCUUACGUCUUGGGCCACACACGUAAUACAAUGGCCGGUACAGAGGGCAGCUACACAGCGAUGUGAUGCAAAUCUCGAAAGCCGGUCUCAGUUCGGAUUGGAGUCUGCAACUCGACUCUAUGAAGCUGGAAUCGCUAGUAAUCGCGCAUCAGCCAUGGCGCGGUGAAUACGUUCCCGGGCCU
This 1345-nucleotide ribosomal RNA is filed under the name uncultured bacterium. RNAcentral describes it as "bacterial SSU rRNA". It matches the Rfam family "Bacterial small subunit ribosomal RNA", at positions 28 to 1381 of the family's 1533-position model. The record is from RNAcentral.